RNAcentral lists this ribosomal RNA (253 nucleotides) under uncultured bacterium. RNAcentral's name for it is "partial 16S ribosomal RNA". It matches the Rfam family "Bacterial small subunit ribosomal RNA", at positions 524 to 776 of the family's 1533-position model. The record is from RNAcentral.
UACAGAGGGUGCGAGCGUUAAUCGGAAUUACUGGGCGUAAAGCGUGCGUAGGCGGUCAUGUAAGUCGGGUGUGAAAGCCCCGGGCUCAACCUGGGAAUUGCAUUCGAGACUGCAUGGCUAGGGUGCGGAAGAGGGAAGCGGAAUUUCCGGUGUAGCGGUGAAAUGCGUAGAGAUGUGGAGGAACACCGAUGGCGAAGGCAGCCCCCUGGGCCAACACUGACGCUCAGGCACGAAAGCGUGGGGAGCAAACAGG